Molecule: ribosomal RNA, 202 nt
Filed under: uncultured bacterium
Lineage: Bacteria
Description: partial 16S ribosomal RNA
Rfam family: Bacterial small subunit ribosomal RNA
Source: RNAcentral
UAGGCUGCAACUCGCCUACACGAAGUCGGAAUCGCUAGUAAUCGCGGAUCAGCAUGCCGCGGUGAAUACGGUUCCCGGGCCUUGUACACACCGCCCGUCACACCAUGGGAGUUUGUAACGCCCAAAGUCGGUGGCCUAACCUUUAUGGAGGGAGCCGCCUAAGGCGGGACAGAUGACUGGGGUGAAGUCGUAACAAGGUACC